UGGCGGACGGGUGGGGAGUGUCUGGGAAACGUGCCUGAUGGAGGGGGAUAACUACUGGAAACGGUAGCUAAUACCGCAUAACGUCGCAAGACCAAAGAGGGGGACCUUAGGGCCUCUUGCCAUCGGAUGUGCCCAGAUGGGAUUAGCUAGUAGGUGGGGUAACGGCUCACCUAGGCGACGAUCCCUAGCUGGUCUGAGAGGAUGACCAGCCACACUGGAACUGAGACACGGUCCAG
This 236-nucleotide ribosomal RNA is filed under the name uncultured bacterium. Its description in RNAcentral is "partial 16S ribosomal RNA". It matches the Rfam family "Bacterial small subunit ribosomal RNA", at positions 96 to 334 of the family's 1533-position model. The record is from RNAcentral.